Pangasius djambal is the source of this 73-nucleotide non-coding RNA. The record is from the annotation of a GenBank genome assembly. Lineage: Eukaryota; Metazoa; Chordata; Actinopteri; Siluriformes; Pangasiidae.
GGCACAGUGGCUUAGUGGUUAGAACUAUCACCUUGUACCUCCUGGGUUGGAGGUUUGAAACCUGCCUGUGUGU